GGUUCGGUAGUUCAGUGGUUAGAAUACAUGCUUGUCACGCAUGGGGUCACGGGUUCGAUCCCCGUCCGGACCG
Molecule: transfer RNA, 73 nt
Filed under: Bacteroides sp.
Lineage: Bacteria; Pseudomonadati; Bacteroidota; Bacteroidia; Bacteroidales; Bacteroidaceae
Description: tRNA-Asp
Rfam family: tRNA
About the family: Transfer RNA (tRNA) molecules are approximately 80 nucleotides in length. Their secondary structure includes four short double-helical elements and three loops (D, anti-codon, and T loops). Further hydrogen bonds mediate the characteristic L-shaped molecular structure. tRNAs have two regions of fundamental functional importance: the anti-codon, which is responsible for specific mRNA codon recognition, and the 3' end, to which the tRNAs corresponding amino acid is attached (by aminoacyl-tRNA synthetases). tRNAs cope with the degeneracy of the genetic code in two manners: having more than one tRNA (with a specific anti-codon) for a particular amino acid; and 'wobble' base-pairing, i.e. permitting non-standard base-pairing at the 3rd anti-codon position.
Source: RNAcentral